This is a long non-coding RNA of Pteropus alecto (black flying fox), 785 nucleotides long. RefSeq lists it as uncharacterized. The transcript has 3 exons. NCBI's taxonomy places the organism in Eukaryota, Metazoa, Chordata, Mammalia, Chiroptera, Pteropodidae. The record is from RefSeq and is a predicted model, not a curated record.
GGACGCUUACCGUCCACCAGCGAUUGUGUUAAGCACGCAUUUACUUCGUUGAGUCAACAUGUAUUUAUUGAGCGCUUCGUACAUAGCGUGCUAGAUUGGUGGACAGCAAAGAGGUGUUCAAGCUGGCAGUCAGCUAGAAGAUACAGCAAAUGUAUGAAGGGUCACCCAUUCCUAGAAGAGAUGCAUGAGACCACUCCAGAGUCUGCACCUUGGGAGGAAUGAGCGAUGUCACCUGGCUGGAGAUUCACUUCCCCACUAUUUCUGAGAAUCUGGGGAUUACGUCCAUUUUCCACAAAUCCAUCCAGAUGGAAGCUAACAUCUGUGUGACCAGGCUGCUAGCUCUCCUGCUGAUCUGUCUGCUGCUGCAUUCUGCUCCUCUUUACUCAAGCAAAGACCCAGACUGCAUGCAGUUCCUCAAAGCACACCUAAUACCAGAAGGUUCAGCUUCAGGAAUUUUACCAAAGCCUUCCUGAUAGCAUCCUCAUCAUUUUCAUCAUUAGUUCCUCUCAGAGAAGCCUAUGGGCUAGGUUCUGUCAACAUAUUCCUUUGGCACGUAAGGACUCAGAGGUUCAGAGACAUUGAAGAACUUUCCUAAGGUCGCUCAGCUAAUGGGUAGGAGAGCAGGGCCCAAAGCAUUUCCUAAAGUUUGGCUAGUAUCCAUGGUGGAACCAGAGCUCAUUUAAGCUAUUUCACACAAAGGCAUUGAGUAACUGAACCUCAUAGUGAGAGUUAUUGUAUUUUAGGUUACGUUCCAUGCCUUCUGAUUAAAUCGAGGAAAGCCUCAA